CCUACGGGAGGCAGCAGUGGGGAAUAUUGGACAAUGGGGGCAACCCUGAUCCAGCCAUGCCGCGUGUGUGAAGAAGGCUUUCGGGUUGUAACGCACUUUCAGUGGUGAGGAAGGCUAUAAGGUUAAUACCCUUGUAGAUUGACGUUAACCACAGAAGAAGCACCGGCUAACUUCGUGCCAGCAGCCGCGGUAAUACGAAGGGACCUAGCGUAAUUCGGAAUUACUGGGCGUAAAGCGCGCGUAGGCGGUUAAGUAAGUUAAUUGUGAAAGCCCAAAGCUCAACUUUGGAAUUGCAAUUAAAACUAUUUAGCUAGAGUUUAUCAGAGGAAAGCGGAAUACAUAGUGUAGAGGUGAAAUUCGUAGAUAUUAUGUAGAACACCAGUUGCGGAGGCGGCUUUCUGGGAUAACACUGACGCUGAGGUGCGAAAGUAUGGGUAGCGAAGAGGAUUAGAUACCCUCGUAGUCCAUACCGUAAACGAUGAUUGUUAGAUGUUGGAAAUUUAUUUUCAGUAUCACAGCUAACGCGUUAAACAAUCCGCCUGGGGAGUACGACCGCAAGGUUAAAACUCAAAUGAAUUGACGGA
Molecule: ribosomal RNA, 584 nt
Filed under: uncultured bacterium
Lineage: Bacteria
Description: bacterial SSU rRNA
Rfam family: Bacterial small subunit ribosomal RNA
Source: RNAcentral